This 69-nucleotide transfer RNA is filed under the name Trichonephila clavata. RNAcentral describes it as "tRNA-Asn". It matches the Rfam family "tRNA". From Rfam's summary of the family: Transfer RNA (tRNA) molecules are approximately 80 nucleotides in length. Their secondary structure includes four short double-helical elements and three loops (D, anti-codon, and T loops). Further hydrogen bonds mediate the characteristic L-shaped molecular structure. tRNAs have two regions of fundamental functional importance: the anti-codon, which is responsible for specific mRNA codon recognition, and the 3' end, to which the tRNAs corresponding amino acid is attached (by aminoacyl-tRNA synthetases). tRNAs cope with the degeneracy of the genetic code in two manners: having more than one tRNA (with a specific anti-codon) for a particular amino acid; and 'wobble' base-pairing, i.e. permitting non-standard base-pairing at the 3rd anti-codon position. Lineage: Eukaryota; Metazoa; Arthropoda; Arachnida; Araneae; Nephilidae. The record is from RNAcentral.
GCCUCCGUGGCGCAAUCGCUAGCGCGUUCGGCUGUUAACCGAAAGGUUGGUUCGAGCCCACGGGGCGUG